Long non-coding RNA from Cydia amplana, 532 nucleotides. RefSeq lists it as uncharacterized. Lineage: Eukaryota; Metazoa; Arthropoda; Insecta; Lepidoptera; Tortricidae. The record is from RefSeq and is a predicted model, not a curated record. The transcript has 3 exons.
ACCAAAUUAGCUAAGAUUAAUUUUGGGACAUAAUAAAACCUAACAAAAGCUAUUCCAAUAAAAAAAAGUACAAAUUUAAGACUUCGGUUUCUAUUUCUAUGGAGGCCGAUUUUCAGCCCACCGUGCGGCCGCCAUCUUGGAUUCCAAAAUAGUCAUCAUUUUCGAAAACUGCGCCCCCUAAAACCUAUAAAACGACAUCCAUCACGACUUUUAUGACAUAGUGCAUGGCCGCCAUCUUGGAUUCCAAAAUAGUCAUCAUUUUCGAAAUCUGAGCCCCCUAUAACAUAUAAAACGACAUCCAUGACGACUGUUAUGACAUACUGCAUGGCAGCCAUCUUGGAAUUCAAAAUGGUCAUCAUUUUCGAAAUCUGCGCCCCCUAAAACCUAUAAAACGACAUCUAUGACGACUUUUAUGACAUAUGCAUGGCCACCAUCUUGGAUUCCAAAAUAGUCAUCAUUUUCGAAAUCUGAGCCCCCUAUAACCUAUAAAACGACAUCCAUGACGACUUUUAUGACAUACUGCAUGGCCGCC